Molecule: ribosomal RNA, 253 nt
Filed under: uncultured bacterium
Lineage: Bacteria
Description: partial 16S ribosomal RNA
Rfam family: Bacterial small subunit ribosomal RNA
Source: RNAcentral
UACGUAGGGGGCAAGCGUUGUCCGGAAUCAUUGGGCGUAAAGCGCGUGUAGGCGGCUCGAUAAGUCUGCUGUGAAAGUCCAGGGCUCAACCCUGGGAUGCCGGUGGAUACUGUCGAGCUCGAGUCCGGAAGAGGCGAGUGGAAUUCCUGGUGUAGCGGUGAAAUGCGCAGAUAUCAGGAGGAACACCGGUGGCGAAGGCGGCCCUCUGGACGGUGACUGACGCUGAGACGCGAAAGCGUGGGGAGCAAACAGG